CUUGCUAAAAUAUAAGAGGUCCAGCCUGCCCAGUGACCCAGUUCAACGGCCGCGGUAUCCUAACCGUGCGAAGGUAGCGUAAUCACUUGUUCUUUAAAUGGGGACUAGUAUGAAUGGCAUCACGAGGGUUGAACUGUCUCCUUUUUCUAAUCAGUGAAACUAAUCUCCCCGUGAAGAAGCGGGAAUCAUUUUAUAAGACGAGAAGACCCUAUGGAGCUUAAAACAAAUUGACACAUGCUUACACCUACUUCAAUUCCUGAAUAAAUAUACAAAAUAUAGCAUCAUUGAUUAAUAGUUUUAGAUUGGGGUGAUCAUGGAGCAAAAAACAACCUCCACGACGAAAAGGAGUAUUCCCUGAGCCAAAAGCCACAACUUUAAGCACUAAAAAAUUAACGCAUCUUGACCCAAUUUUUUGAGCAACGAAC
RNAcentral lists this ribosomal RNA (425 nucleotides) under Boana calcarata group sp. ABGD cluster 17. RNAcentral describes it as "partial large subunit ribosomal RNA". It matches the Rfam family "Bacterial large subunit ribosomal RNA", at positions 1834 to 2404 of the family's 2925-position model. Lineage: Eukaryota; Metazoa; Chordata; Amphibia; Anura; Hylidae. The record is from RNAcentral.